This is a long non-coding RNA of Sceloporus undulatus (fence lizard), 468 nucleotides long. RefSeq lists it as uncharacterized. The record is from RefSeq and is a predicted model, not a curated record. Lineage: Eukaryota; Metazoa; Chordata; Lepidosauria; Squamata; Phrynosomatidae. The transcript is spliced from 4 exons.
GCGUCGGCUCAACUCCGGGCGGAAGUGACGCUCUAGGGCUGCCUGUCUGUCUGUCCGUUGGCGCUGUGUUCCUCCUCCUUCCUCCCGGGUUCGAGGGGGCGUCGGUUGUCUUGCGUCUCUCUCUGUCGGGAGUGGGAGCAAUAUGUCGGGCCGGGAAGGUGGAAAGAAGAAGCCCUUGAAGCAGCCCAAGAAGCAGUCGAAGGAAAUGGAUGAGGAAGAGUUGCUUUCAAGCAAAACAGAAGGAGGAGCAGAAGAAAUUGGAAGAGCUGAAGGCAAAAGCUGCUGGCAAGGGCCCCUCAGUGGAGGUGGGAUUAAGAAGUCUGGUAAGAAGUAGCAGACUUGAAUAAUUUACCUCCCUUGGAUGCUUGGCAGUGGGAAGGAUUUCCAGGCUCAUGUCAUGGAAGACAUUACUUUGAGCACCUUUGUACAUUUUGUUCAAACAAAAUAAAUGUUGUUGUUUUUGGUUAA